UACGGAGGGUGCGAGCGUUGUCCGGAAUCAUUGGGCGUAAAGGGCGCGUAGGUGGCCCGGUCAGUCAGUGGUGAAAGCGCGGGGCUCAACUCCGCGUCGGCCAUUGAUACUGCGGGGCUCGAGCACUGUAGAGGCAGGCGGAAUUCCGGGUGUAGCGGUGGAAUGCGUAGAGAUCCGGAGGAACACCGGUGGCGAAGGCGGCGUCCUGGACCAACACUGACACUGAGGAGCGAAAGCCAGGGGAGCAAACGGG
RNAcentral lists this ribosomal RNA (253 nucleotides) under uncultured bacterium. RNAcentral describes it as "partial 16S ribosomal RNA". It matches the Rfam family "Bacterial small subunit ribosomal RNA", at positions 524 to 776 of the family's 1533-position model. The record is from RNAcentral.